UCCGAAAUCAACCAAUUAAAGCCCAAAUCGUAUAAUAGUUUCUCUCUAACUCCUCCCACUGAGAUGACCCAUAGUACCCCAUUCCUUGCUGCAAUGUAAUUAUAUUUAAUUACAAGUGUGCCCCUGGUAGUCUUUAACUGAAGGGCACUGACUGGGUCACUGGUGAAGUUCCCCGCAGGAACUGAGUCAGACCCCAUCUCAGGGCCCUGCACAAGAUAGGUGCCUGCUCUAAGGCGUGGACCCUCGCCACAGCCCUGGCCCGUCUUGACGGGCGAGGGUUACUGUACUUGUCCCAACCGUACAGAUGAGAAAGCUGAGACUCAGGGCCAGCAACCCGGGUCCCAGCGGAGCGCCCGGCACACGCCGACACUUCAGCACCAGUGGCGGUGGCCACCACUGUGGGCGGAGAUGGCUGCGACGCGUGCGCAGAUCUCGAUCCCAAACUCCCUCCUGCCAGAAUCUGGACCCGAAUCCACCCAUUGCCCGUUUUCCGCUGCCGCUGGAGAGAAUCUCUGAGGUCCCCAGGAGAGCCUGCCUGCACGGAAGAGACGCCUCCUCGGUAUGGCCGCCCCCGGAGAGGAGCGAUUAAGUGCAGACCUCCUUGUUGCUCUUGAGCCUGAGCGGCUUCAGGGAGCCAUGUUUGUUACUGGCGGGCGCCGACCUCACUGAGCAUGUGCAGCCCUGGCCGGGCGGCCUCAAAGUUCUGACAUCACAGGGCGGUUCCUGAAGUGGACGUAGUUGUAAGAGCUAGUUAUUUUAGACAAUGCCUCUGGGAUCAGGGACUCUAAUCUGGAAAUAGGUAGUCGGAGAGGUCGGUGAUGCAGUCUCUGGAUCAGAGACCUGAGCUAUAUGGGGUUAGAGAGGGGCCCUGGGCAGGCGAGUCUCUGGGGAGUGUGGUGAGAAUCCUUGUGUAAGAUGCUGGGAGGAGGUGGGGUCAGGGCUGGGGUCCGUGGGCCGACGGGUUGGGGGAUGGCCAGCGUCAGGGAUCAGUAGUAGAGAUUCUAUGUGCCCUGAUCGCCAGUGGAGGUUUUAAAUACAGAGUAUUCAUGAGUUUAGCAAUGUUUUUCGCCUCUCAUUAUUUAAAUAAUUUGAAGUUUUCCCCAAUAACUAGUGUCUUAGAAGUCAUGAAAAUUUCAGAAAAUGACAGGUCUUCUGAGUUCGUGAUGGGAGUUGGGCAGCAGUCGCAUACGAGCACCUGGAGAGUCCUUGCCAGUUCUUUGGGGAUGGGGAGCUCUUAAGACUGCCCUGAGACCGCCCUUUGACCUCAUUGUGGUCCUUUCUAGAUUAAAUGCUGUUUUCCAUGACCGUCUCUGUUCUUCCCAUACGGGAAUGGCAGGCAUUCAGAUCUCCAAGAAUAGAGGAUUAGGAGAGACUCCACCACCUAUGUCCUCACAGUUAAUUAUCGAUUUGUGUCAGUUGCCCAUUUUCUCACUUCCUGUUUGUGUGUCAAGGGGUAUUAAUAAAUCUUUGCCUAUUUAAAGAUAUUAGCCUUGGAUUUUCAAAUAUUGCAUAUUUUGACAUGUAAAAAUUUGUUAGUUUUAUUUUUUCAACCGAUCUGACCUGUAUAGUUGGGCUUGAGGAAGCUUCCUCAUUCUACAUGUUACUAUGGAUUUUCUAAUAUUAACACAGGGUUGUAUUUUUUCCAUAUAACUUUCUAUUGAAUUUCUUUUUCCAUAUGAUAGGUGGUGAAGGUUUAGCCCAGUAAAGCAGAGAGGUUAAGAGGUUAGAUUGGGGGCUCUGGAGCCAGACCUGUGUAGAUCUGAGUCGUGGCUCUGGCACUUGAAAGCCGUGUGACCUUGGUUAAGAUACUUAGUCCCUCUCUGCCAAAUGGAGAAAUAAGGGCACCUACCCCAUAGGGUAGUUGUGUGAUUACACAAGUUAAUACACUUCAAUCAGUAGCAAGAAAGUGAAUGUCAAGCUGUAUUUGUUCAGGCAGCCAUAUGGUAGCCCCACGUCCUUAGUAAACUGAGGUAUUGAAGUAUCUUCUUUUUCUUUCAGAAAAUAUUUGUCAAGCACCUUCUGUGUUCAAAGAACUGUUCUAGAGCUUUGCAUGCUAUGGAGGUCUAGAAAUUCACAUUAUGGUGGCAGGUGACAGACAAUACAAAGAGAUAAAGCAAUUUCAUAUAGUGAUAAGCUAGGGAGGAGUGCUAAAAGGAGCCAAGGUGUAGUGGUGACUGGAAGGUGACCAGGGAAACCACUGUAGGGUUUCUAAGUGAUGAGAUCUGUGACAAAUCCCUGUGGUCAGCAGCAGGCAUUGGAUAUGUAACUUUAUUCUGUCCCAUUGAUCUUGUAGUCAACCCUGGUCUGUUCUGUAUUGUUUUAAUUACAUAAUCUUUGUAAUAAUCUUUAAUACCUGG
Molecule: long non-coding RNA, 2357 nt
Filed under: Homo sapiens (human)
Lineage: Eukaryota; Metazoa; Chordata; Mammalia; Primates; Hominidae
Description: non-protein coding GLIDR:3
Source: RNAcentral